GCUUCGUCAACUCCUUUGAUUACUCCACUCCAUCAUCAACGAUGCACCCUCCCAGCGCUACCUUUUCCCUUCCUUAACUCCCACGUGUCCCCUGUGUUACUAGUAUUCCAUUUGGACGGCUAAUGAAGAAUGAGAAGCGCGAGAUCUGUUGCAGAGGAUAAUGGAAAAAAGAAGUGGAAUUGUUUAAGGAAAGAAGAUCUUCCUCUUUAUUUAUUUUUGUCAGCUUCAAGGCUUGCUACUGAUAAUGUGAUCGCUUACGCGAAGGAAGACUUUGAAGAGGGAGAGAGUCAGUGAACAUGGCGACGGUGCAGUUGGUGAGAGAGAGUGAGGUGGCGGAGACGCUGGAGACGAGUCCAAGGAGUCCUGAGGCCAAACUCGGAAUGAAAGUGGAGGAUUUAUGGGAUGUGCAGGAGCCGCAGUUGAGUCCAACUGAGAAGCUUAACGCUUGCUUCGAGAGUAUCCCUGUUUCUGCCUUCCCUUCUGGAACUUCAUCUCAAGUGGUCGAAAUCAAAUCA
This 515-nucleotide unclassified non-coding RNA is filed under the name Hevea brasiliensis (rubber tree). The record is from RNAcentral. Lineage: Eukaryota; Viridiplantae; Streptophyta; Magnoliopsida; Malpighiales; Euphorbiaceae.